Molecule: ribosomal RNA, 1046 nt
Filed under: Salmonella enterica
Lineage: Bacteria; Pseudomonadati; Pseudomonadota; Gammaproteobacteria; Enterobacterales; Enterobacteriaceae
Description: partial 23S ribosomal RNA
Rfam family: Bacterial large subunit ribosomal RNA
Source: RNAcentral
GGGUUGUGAGGUUAAGCGACUAAGCGUACACGGUGGAUGCCCUGGCAGUCAGAGGCGAUGAAGGGCGUGCUAAUCUGCGAUAAGCGCCGGUAAGGUGAUAUGAACCGUUAUAACCGGCGAUACCCGAAUGGGGAAACCCAGUGUGACUCGUCACACUAUCAUUAACUGAAUCCAUAGGUUAAUGAGGCGAACCGGGGGAACUGAAACAUCUAAGUACCCCGAGGAAAAGAAAUCAACCGAGAUUCCCUCAGUAGCGGCGAGCGAACGGGGAGGAGCCCAGAGCCUGAAUCAGCAUGUGUGUUAGUGGAAGCGUCUGGAAAGUCGCGCGAUACAGGGUGACAGCCCCGUACACAAAAGCGCAUGUGUUGUGAGCUCGAUGAGUAGGGCGGGACACGUGGUAUCCUGUCUGAAUAUGGGGGGACCAUCCUCCAAGGCUAAAUACUCCUGACUGACCGAUAGUGAACCAGUACCGUGAGGGAAAGGCGAAAAGAACCCCGGCGAGGGGAGUGAAAAAGAACCUGAAACCGUGUACGUACAAGCAGUGGGAGCACAGGUUUACCUGUGUGACUGCGUACCUUUUGUAUAAUGGGUCAGCGACUUAUAUUCUGUAGCAAGGUUAACCGUAUAGGGGAGCCGGAGGGAAACCGAGUCUUAACCGGGCGUUAAGUUGCAGGGUAUAGACCCGAAACCCGGUGAUCUAGCCAUGGGCAGGUUGAAGGUUGGGUAACACUAACUGGAGGACCGAACCGACUAAUGUUGAAAAAUUAGCGGAUGACCUGUGGCUGGGGGUGAAAGGCCAAUCAAACCGGGAGAUAGCUGGUUCUCCCCGAAAGCUAUUUAGGUAGCGCCUCGUGAACUCAUCUCCGGGGGUAGAGCACUGUUUCGGCUAGGGGGCCAUCCCGGCUUACCAACCCGAUGCAAACUGCGAAUACCGGAGAAUGUUAUCACGGGAGACACACGGCGGGUGCUAACGUCCGUCGUGAAGAGGGAAACAACCCAGACCGCCAGCUAAGGUCCCAAAGUCAUGGUUAAGUGGGAAACGAUGU